Molecule: ribosomal RNA, 1569 nt
Filed under: Salmonella enterica
Lineage: Bacteria; Pseudomonadati; Pseudomonadota; Gammaproteobacteria; Enterobacterales; Enterobacteriaceae
Description: partial 23S ribosomal RNA
Rfam family: Bacterial large subunit ribosomal RNA
Source: RNAcentral
GGGGUGUGACUGCGUACCUUUUGUAUAAUGGGUCAGCGACUUAUAUUCUGUAGCAAGGUUAACCGAAUAGGGGAGCCGGAGGGAAACCGAGUCUUAAUUGGGCGUUAAGUUGCAGGGUAUAGACCCGAAACCCGGUGAUCUAGCCAUGGGCAGGUUGAAGGUUGGGUAACACUAACUGGAGGACCGAACCGACUAAUGUUGAAAAAUUAGCGGAUGACCUGUGGCUGGGGGUGAAAGGCCAAUCAAACCGGGAGAUAGCUGGUUCUCCCCGAAAGCUAUUUAGGUAGCGCCUCGUGAAUUCAUCUCCGGGGGUAGAGCACUGUUUCGGCUAGGGGGCCAUCCCGGCUUACCAACCCGAUGCAAACUGCGAAUACCGGAGAAUGUUAUCACGGGAGACACACGGCGGGUGCUAACGUCCGUCGUGAAGAGGGAAACAACCCAGACCGCCAGCUAAGGUCCCAAAGUCAUAGUUAAGUGGGAAACGAUGUGGGAAGGCCCAGACAGCCAGGAUGUUGGCUUAGAAGCAGCCAUCAUUUAAAGAAAGCGUAAUAGCUCACUGGUCGAGUCGGCCUGCGCGGAAGAUGUAACGGGGCUAAACUAUGCACCGAAGCUGCGGCAGCGACACUAUGUGUUGUUGGGUAGGGGAGCGUUCUGUAAGCCUGUGAAGGUGUGUCGUGAGGCAUGCUGGAGGUAUCAGAAGUGCGAAUGCUGACAUAAGUAACGAUAAAGCGGGUGAAAAGCCCGCUCGCCGGAAGACCAAGGGUUCCUGUCCAACGUUAAUCGGGGCAGGGUGAGUCGACCCCUAAGGCGAGGCCGAAAGGCGUAGUCGAUGGGAAACGGGUUAAUAUUCCCGUACUUGGUGUUACUGCGAAGGGGGGACGGAGAAGGCUAUGUUGGCCGGGCGACGGUUGUCCCGGUUUAAGCGUGUAGGUGUGUGUUCCAGGUAAAUCCGGUUCACUUUAACACUGAGGCGUGACGACGAGGCACUACGGUGCUGAAGCAACAAAUGCCCUGCUUCCAGGAAAAGCCUCUAAGCAUCAGGUAACAUCAAAUCGUACCCCAAACCGACACAGGUGGUCAGGUAGAGAAUACCAAGGCGCUUGAGAGAACUCGGGUGAAGGAACUAGGCAAAAUGGUGCCGUAACUUCGGGAGAAGGCACGCUGACACGUAGGUGAAGUGAUUUACUCAUGGAGCUGAAGUCAGUCGAAGAUACCAGCUGGCUGCAACUGUUUAUUAAAAACACAGCACUGUGCAAACACGAAAGUGGACGUAUACGGUGUGACGCCUGCCCGGUGCCGGAAGGUUAAUUGAUGGGGUCAGCGCAAGCGAAGCUCCUGAUCGAAGCCCCGGUAAACGGCGGCCGUAACUAUAACGGUCCUAAGGUAGCGAAAUUCCUUGUCGGGUAAGUUCCGACCUGCACGAAUGGCGUAAUGAUGGCCAGGCUGUCUCCACCCGAGACUCAGUGAAAUUGAACUCGCUGUGAAGAUGCAGUGUACCCGCGGCAAGACGGAAAGACCCCGUGAACCUUUACUAUAGCUUGACACUGAACAUUGAGCCUUGAUGUGUAG